CAUGAUGUAGACACAUAAUUUUGUCCCUCUCCGAAAGCACUCUUACUAUUUUACCCUCAUCUUAAUGUGUGCCCUCACCCGUGUGAUAACCCCUUCACAAAAAGACAAAAAUAACAAUUCCUAACUAAUUUUAUCUUAUUCUAAAAACCCCUCCCUAUUAAAAAUAACACAUCACCAUCACUACCCUAACUACCCAUGUGAUCCCCCCC
Molecule: long non-coding RNA, 209 nt
Filed under: Capsicum annuum
Lineage: Eukaryota; Viridiplantae; Streptophyta; Magnoliopsida; Solanales; Solanaceae
Description: long non-coding RNA (CANN_LNC001766)
Source: RNAcentral